Molecule: long non-coding RNA, 574 nt
Filed under: Nicotiana tabacum (common tobacco)
Lineage: Eukaryota; Viridiplantae; Streptophyta; Magnoliopsida; Solanales; Solanaceae
Description: long non-coding RNA (NTAB_LNC007894)
Source: RNAcentral
UUUCUGUCCCAUCUCUAUUCUCUCUGCUCUCUUUUCUCUCUUUCAAUCAACUCUAUUGACCAAGGUGGUUUCCGGGUGGAUGGGACAAGAAUCAAGCUUCGAUUUUGGAUGUAAUCAUGUAUAUAGACCUAUCAAGCACUGUAUUAAAGCUCAGAACGCGACAGUUUUGGUAAAUCUUAAAUUCUUCUUUUUCCAUUUCUUAAAUUUUUGAUUUCGGGUUUUGUAAAGUGAUUCGUUCAUGUGCAUGUUCAAGAUCAAUUGGGUUGUGAAUAACCAUAUCUUAUAUGGCGUGGGUGGUUAUAUUAGCUUCUUGGACUACCUCUGUGAGGUAUAUUAGAAUUUCGUCAUAAUUGCUGACCUAAUAUUUAUUGAUAAACCUGUGGUCGAUUGUUUUCUGGUCAUAGAUGUUUGCUGGAAUUGGGGCUUAUUUUUCUUAUUCUGAUCAUAAGUUUAAAAUUAUUAAAUGUAACAUUGCAUAUUUUCAUGUAGGUAACAUGAGGAGGGAAUUAGUUGCUAAGAAACAUAUCCCUUUGACAAAGCCUUCAAAGCCUUCAAACAGGGGAAAAAAUGCAGA